CAAAAGGAAGAGUAUAAAACAGCCACUAAUCCUAUUACCCAGAGAGAACCACUGCUGGCACUUGGGUAUCUCCAGAAUUUUCCAUGGCUCAUACCCACUGAGGAUCCCGUACAUUGUACACAAUGUCUGCCUGGAGGAGGGAAUCUGCACCUGGGAGUCUCAGCACCAGUGCCCUGGGCCUGUCUGCCAAGAUGCCCAUCUGCAGCUGAGAGGCCUGAGGGUGAUCCAGCCCUUCCCGAGGCCAGGCUCUGACUCCUUUCGUGUGAGGCUUGGGCAGCUCCAGGCUCCAGGCUGGAUCUGGACUGUGUGAGAGAGGACUUCCCUGGUCCAGCUCUCCCUGG
RNAcentral lists this long non-coding RNA (341 nucleotides) under Homo sapiens (human). Its description in RNAcentral is "non-protein coding lnc-DYSF-3:1". The record is from RNAcentral. Lineage: Eukaryota; Metazoa; Chordata; Mammalia; Primates; Hominidae.